Molecule: long non-coding RNA, 1372 nt
Organism: Cloeon dipterum
Lineage: Eukaryota; Metazoa; Arthropoda; Insecta; Ephemeroptera; Baetidae
Exons: 2
Source: RefSeq, a predicted model, not a curated record
ACCCGUCGACACUGAAUGCGCUAAAUGCGAGCUCGAGGCUCUCUUGUUUAAGCGCGCUUACAGUUUACGUUAUUUGGAAGUUCCGCGCAUGAUACGUAUCAUUUUUCAUAAUACGUGAAUCCCACUUGAAAGCCUUUUAUUCACUCCUAAGUCCCGCAAAACUGGUAGGCAAAGGUGCUGAAAGAUCAGAGGGGGACGUACUGUCGGACUCCACUACAUAGAAGAUGAAGAACCGUGGAGAUCAAGCUCAAUAAUUAUAUCAACACGAACUUGAAGAGCGGGCUUUAAGGUGAUGCGGUCAAAAAAUACUAGGUAAGUAUUAAAUGAAAUAAAUUUAUUGCCGAUAUUGUGUUCAUACAGUUCAGUUAUCAAUUCAAAUAGCAUUUCAACAUAAUUAUUAUUCUAUCAAAAUAUUCUAGGCGCGAUUGAAACAUGCAGAGACUUUCUUUCAUUACAGGUGUUCAUCGGAGAUACAAAACUUCUUAUCAUCCGAACCGUCUUUUCGAGUGUAAUGCCUUCCAUUAAAGCUAGAGUUUAGUUCAUUGAUCUCCACCAACAGCACUCUUCAACCAACUAGCAUGGAAAGAAACUGUGUUAGUUUGAUUCCCAACAGGUCCAAUGUUACAGUAAUAGUAUUAAAAAUAGCAGGUGGAUUGGAUUUAUCUCAAAUUUAUACUUCUGAUCCUUAGGAUCAUCCUGCUUGAAGACAGGCAACAAACUCUGUUUAAAAACUUUUCCAAAUUUAACUUUUAAAAGCAUUCCAUAAUCAAAAAUGCCUGACACUUGCUCUACCAACAUUGUACUAACAACAUAAGUUGGGACUUGAAUAUGAAAAAUAUCAAACAAACCUCAAAAAUGAUUAGAAUAGAAAAUGCUUUGUCUGAUAAGAGAAAAACGUCGCAUCUACGCAAUUUGAAACUUUGAAAAUACGAUUUGCAUCAGUGGGCAACGAGCUUGUAGACUGCGCAUAAAAUUCAUAUCUGCCGGCACUCACUCUCUUAGAAAUCAUAAAAAAUCAUUCACAUUUAUGCUGGCCACAUACUUUGCUUGUGAUGCAAAAUGCAAACUUAAACUAGGGUAGAAGUACCGUGGCACUUUACGAAACAUUUGAGUGUUUAAUACUUCUACAGAGCACCCAACAGGACGAAUUUUACUCCCAGUUGUUUUGAAAAAACACUGCUGCUUUUCCUCUCUCGGCUGGUUUUGCGUCACUUGGAUUUACAUUUGAAAAGUGGCAGUAACUCGUAAUUGAUAGUUCAUUAUGCAAUGUAAAUGUUGCUUGAAAUAAAUAUGAUGACACUUAUCGUAGCUCCAAAGUGCCACCAAGCCUCUACAUGAUGCUGCAGCGUUCUUCUCUUCCAUGACCGUUCUC